Molecule: ribosomal RNA, 687 nt
Filed under: uncultured Gammaproteobacteria bacterium
Lineage: Bacteria; Pseudomonadati; Pseudomonadota; Gammaproteobacteria
Description: bacterial SSU rRNA
Rfam family: Bacterial small subunit ribosomal RNA
Source: RNAcentral
AGAAGGAACAUCAAUGGCGAAGGCAGCUUUCUGGACCAAUACUGACGCUGAGGUACGAAAGCGUGGGUAGCAAACAGGAUUAGAUACCCUGGUAGUCCACGCCGUAAACGAUGAUAACUAGCCGUUGGGGGGAUUUACCCUUUAGUGGCGAAGCUAACGCGUUAAGUUAUCCGCCUGGGGAGUACGGCCGCAAGGUUAAAACUCAAAGGAAUUGACGGGGACCCGCACAAGCGGUGGAGCAUGUGGUUUAAUUCGAUGCAACGCGAAGAACCUUACCUGGUCUUGACAUCCUGAGAACUUUCUAGAAAUAGAUUGGUGCCUUCGGGAACUCAGUGACAGGUGCUGCAUGGCUGUCGUCAGCUCGUGUCGUGAGAUGUUGGGUUAAGUCCCGUAACGAGCGCAACCCCUAUCCUUAUUUGCCAGCACAUCAUGGUGGGAACUAUAAGGAGACUGCCGGUGAUAAACCGGAGGAAGGCGGGGACGACGUCAAGUCAUCAUGGCCCUUACGACCAGGGCUACACACGUGCUACAAUGGGAAGGACAAUGAGCCGCGAAGCCGCGAGGUGUAGCUAAUCUCAGAAACCUUUUCGUAGUCCGGAUUGGAGUCUGCAACUCGACUCCAUGAAGUCGGAAUCGCUAGUAAUCGUAGAUCAGAAUGCUACGGUGAAUACGUUCCCGGGUCUUGUA